AGAGUUUGAUCAUGGCUCAGGACGAACGCUGGCGGCGUGCCUAACACAUGCAAGUCGAACGGAACGAUAAGGAAGAAGUCCUUCGGGACGACGGAGAUAUUGUUUAGUGGCGGACGGGUGAGUAACGCGUGAGUAACCUGCCUUUAAGAGGGGGAUAACGUUUGGAAACGAACGCUAUACCGCAUAAAAUAUAACUGCCGCAUGGCGGAUAUAUCAAAGAAAUUCGCUUAGAGAUGGACUCGCGUCCGAUUAGUUAGUUGGCGGGGUAAAGGCCCACCAAGACCGCGAUCGGUAGCCGGACUGAGAGGUUGAACGGCCACAUUGGGACUGAGACACGGCCCAGACUCCUACGGGAGGCAGCAGUGGGGGAUAUUGCGCAAUGGGGGGAACCCUGACGCAGCAACGCCGCGUGAAGGAAGAAGGUUUUCGGAUUGUAAACUUCUUUUCUUAAGGACGAAGGAAGCGACGGUACUUAAGGAAUAAGCUCCGGCUAACUACGUGCCAGCAGCCGCGGUAAUACGUAGGGAGCAAGCGUUGUCCGGAAUUACUGGGUGUAAAGGGUGCGUAGGCGGCUCGGCAAGUCAGAUGUGAAAUCUAUGGGCUCAACCCAUAAACUGCAUUAGAAACUGCAGAGCUUGAGUGAAGUAGAGGCAGGCGGAAUUCCCCGUGUAGCGGUGAAAUGCGUAGAGAUGGGGAGGAACACCGGUGGCGAAGGCGGCCUGCUGGGCUUUAACUGACGCUGAGGCACGAAAGCGUGGGUAGCAAACAGGAUUAGAUACCCUGGUAGUCCACGCCGUAAA
This 800-nucleotide ribosomal RNA is filed under the name uncultured bacterium. RNAcentral describes it as "bacterial SSU rRNA". It matches the Rfam family "Bacterial small subunit ribosomal RNA", at positions 8 to 806 of the family's 1533-position model. The record is from RNAcentral.